RNAcentral lists this long non-coding RNA (219 nucleotides) under Volvox carteri. RNAcentral's name for it is "long non-coding RNA (VCAR_LNC000231)". Lineage: Eukaryota; Viridiplantae; Chlorophyta; Chlorophyceae; Chlamydomonadales; Volvocaceae. The record is from RNAcentral.
UAGGGUGGAUCCGUACCCUGCACGUGGCUUUCCCGUUCCCGGGGGAGGGCGCCUCCCUGGAUCCCGCGUCCGUCUCCGCGACCGCUGUGGGGGCUCCGCUGGCGUCAAGUGGACGGACAGAGACAGACAGACAGACAGAUAGACAGACGGAUAGGCAGCAGACAGAUGGACUGGGGCGCCCCAUCCAGAAGGUAUGUAACCUUGAGGUGUGGAAGUGCG